Jaculus jaculus (lesser Egyptian jerboa) is the source of this 130-nucleotide small nucleolar RNA. The record is from Ensembl. Lineage: Eukaryota; Metazoa; Chordata; Mammalia; Rodentia; Dipodidae.
CAGUCAGCCAAUUAAUUUGCUUAUCUGAAUGUGUUUCUGCAGAAAUUUAGAAAAAACUGGCAAUAUGAUGUCAUGUUAUGAGCCUUCAGGACAAUUGGGGUCAUUAAGGCUCCUGAAAACAACUACGAUA